This 72-nucleotide transfer RNA is filed under the name Aspergillus ustus. Its description in RNAcentral is "tRNA-Cys". The record is from RNAcentral. Lineage: Eukaryota; Fungi; Ascomycota; Eurotiomycetes; Eurotiales; Aspergillaceae.
GGAGCUUGAGCAGAAGGUUCUGCGUUUCAAUUGCAAAUUGAAAUAAAGGGAUUCGACUUCCAUCAAGCUUCA